UACGUAGGUGGCGAGCGUUGUCCGGAAUUACUGGGCGUAAAGGGCGCGUAGGCGGUCUGCUAAGUUGGAUGUGAAAACUCUGGGCUUAACCCAGAGCCUGCAUUCAAUACUGACAGGCUAGAGUUCUGGAGGGGAUAGCGGAAUUCCUGGUGUAGCGGUGAAAUGCGUAGAUAUCAGGAGGAACACCGGUGGCGAAAGCGGCGCGCUGGACCUCUUCUGACGCUGAGGCGCGAAAGCCAGGGGAGCAAACGGG
Molecule: ribosomal RNA, 253 nt
Filed under: uncultured bacterium
Lineage: Bacteria
Description: partial 16S ribosomal RNA
Rfam family: Bacterial small subunit ribosomal RNA
Source: RNAcentral